GUUAACGUAGCUUAAGUAAAGCAUAACACUGAAGCUGUUAAGAUAAGCCCGAACAAGGCUUCGUAAACA
RNAcentral lists this transfer RNA (69 nucleotides) under Nothobranchius kafuensis (Kafue killifish). RNAcentral describes it as "tRNA-Phe". It matches the Rfam family "tRNA". Rfam says of the family: Transfer RNA (tRNA) molecules are approximately 80 nucleotides in length. Their secondary structure includes four short double-helical elements and three loops (D, anti-codon, and T loops). Lineage: Eukaryota; Metazoa; Chordata; Actinopteri; Cyprinodontiformes; Nothobranchiidae. The record is from RNAcentral.